This is a non-coding RNA of Caenorhabditis elegans, 21 nucleotides long. The record is from Ensembl. Lineage: Eukaryota; Metazoa; Nematoda; Chromadorea; Rhabditida; Rhabditidae.
UAAGGAAGUUAUAUGUAUAUC